GGGACUCUAAGUCUGUACAGAUCUUGCAAUCAAGGAGCGCGCGGCGCCCUUAGUUGUGUGAGGGACCAUAUCUAUACACGCGUACAUGGCUCGCUCGCUACUGACUGC
Molecule: long non-coding RNA, 108 nt
Organism: Aricia agestis (brown argus)
Lineage: Eukaryota; Metazoa; Arthropoda; Insecta; Lepidoptera; Lycaenidae
Exons: 3
Source: RefSeq, a predicted model, not a curated record